ACGCACGUGGCGGAAUUGGUAGACGCGUUAGGUUGAGGGCCUAAUGAGAAUCAUCUCAUGGAAGUUCGAGUCUUCUCGUGCGUA
Molecule: non-coding RNA, 84 nt
Organism: Flavobacteriaceae bacterium TMED206
Lineage: Bacteria; Pseudomonadati; Bacteroidota; Flavobacteriia; Flavobacteriales; Flavobacteriaceae
Source: Rfam